This 394-nucleotide ribosomal RNA is filed under the name uncultured bacterium. Its description in RNAcentral is "bacterial SSU rRNA". It matches the Rfam family "Bacterial small subunit ribosomal RNA", at positions 32 to 405 of the family's 1533-position model. The record is from RNAcentral.
AAUCAACGCUGGCGGCGUGCCUCAGACAUGCAAGUCGAACGCGAAAGUUCCCUUCGGGGGAUGAGUAGAGUGGCGCACGGGUGAGUAACACGUAGGUAAUCUACCUUUGGAUGGGGAAUAACAACCGGAAACGGUUGCUAAUACCGCAUAAUGCAGCGGCACCUAAUGGUGACAGUUGUUAAAGCGGGGGAUCGAAAGACCUCGCGCCUGAAGAGGAGCCUGCGGCGGAUUAGCAGUUGGUAAGGUAACGGCUUACCAAGGCGACGAUCCGUAGCCGGCCUGAGAGGGCGGUCGGCCACACUGACACUGACAUACGGGUCAGACUCCUACGGGAGGCAGCAGUCGGGAAUUUUGGGCAAUGGGCGAAAGCCUGACCCAGCAACGCCGCCGUGAA